This 838-nucleotide ribosomal RNA is filed under the name uncultured bacterium. RNAcentral describes it as "bacterial SSU rRNA". It matches the Rfam family "Bacterial small subunit ribosomal RNA", at positions 56 to 895 of the family's 1533-position model. The record is from RNAcentral.
UGCAGUCGACGGUAACAGGUGUAGCAUACAUGCUGACGAGUGGCGCACGGGUGUGUAACGCGUAUGCAACCUACCUAUAACUGGGGAAUAGCCUUCUGAAAGGAAGAUUAACACCGCAUAACAUCAUGAAACGGCAUCGUUUUAUGAUCAAAUCUCCGGAGGUUAUAGAUGGGCAUGCGUGACAUUAGCUAGUUGGUGAGGUAACGGCUCACCAAGGCUACGAUGUCUAGGGGGUCUGAGAGGAUGAUCCCCCACACUGGUACUGAGACACGGACCAGACUCCUACGGGAGGCAGCAGUAAGGAAUAUUGGACAAUGGGCGCAAGCCUGAUCCAGCCAUGCCGCGUGAAGGAUGACGGCCCUCUGGGUUGUAAACUUCUUUUAUAUGGGAAUAAACCCCCCUUUUCUAAGGGGGCUGAAUGUACCAUAAGAAUAAGGAUCGGCUAACUUCGUGCCAGCAGCCGCGGUAAUACGAAGGAUCCAAGCGUUAUCCGGAUUUAUUGGGUUUAAAGGGUGCGUAGGCGGACUAUUAAGUCAGUGGUGAAAGCCUGCAGCUUAACUGCAGAACUGCCAUUGAUACUGAUGGUCUUGAGUACAUUUGAGGUGGGCGGAAUGUGUCAUGUAGUGGUGAAAUACUUAGAUAUGACACAGAACUCCGAUUGCGAAGGCAGCUCACUAAACUGUAACUGACGCUGAGGCACGAAAGCGUGGGGAUCAAACAGGAUUAGAUACCCUGGUAGUCCACGCCCUAAACGAUGAUUACUCGAUGUGUGCGAUACACUGUACGCGUCUGAGCGAAAGCAUUAAGUAAUCCACCUGGGGAGUACGGCCGCAAGGCU